RNAcentral lists this ribosomal RNA (390 nucleotides) under uncultured bacterium. RNAcentral's name for it is "bacterial SSU rRNA". It matches the Rfam family "Bacterial small subunit ribosomal RNA", at positions 505 to 898 of the family's 1533-position model. The record is from RNAcentral.
GUGCCAGCCGCCGCGGUAAUACGUAGGGGGCAAGCGUUGUCCGGAUUUAUUGGGCGUAAAGGGUGCGUAGGCGGCCUUUUAAGUCAGAUGUGAAAGAUCACGGCUCAACCGUGGUAAGCAUUUGAAACUGGAAGGCUUGAGUUAAGGAGAGGAAAGUGGAAUUCCUAGUGUAGCGGUGAAAUGCGUAGAUAUUAGGAGGAAUACCAGUGGCGAAGGCGACUUUCUGGACUUAUACUGACGCUGAUGCACGAAAGCGUGGGGAGCGAACAGGAUUAGAUACCCUGGUAGUCCACGCCGUAAACGAUGAGUGCUAGGUGUUGGGGGUCAAACCUCGGUGCCGCAGCUAACGCAUUAAGCACUCCGCCUGGGGAGUACGUACGCAAGUAUGAA